RNAcentral lists this ribosomal RNA (494 nucleotides) under uncultured bacterium. RNAcentral describes it as "partial 16S ribosomal RNA". It matches the Rfam family "Bacterial small subunit ribosomal RNA", at positions 28 to 507 of the family's 1533-position model. The record is from RNAcentral.
GACGAACGCUGGCGGCGUGCUUAACACAUGCAAGUCGAACGGAAAGGCCUGCUUUCCCUUGUGGAUUGCGGGUACUCGAGUGGCGAACGGGUGAGUAACACGUGAGUGAUCUGCCCCCAAAUUGGGUAUAAGCCUGGGAGACUGGGUCUAAUUCCCGAUAGGACUGCAGGGUGGUGCCUGUGGUGGAAAACGAUGUUCUAGUGGUUGGGGAUGAGCUCGCGGCCUAUCAGCUUGUUGGUGGGGUAAUGGCCUACCAAGGCGGCGACGGGUAGCCGGCCUGGGAGGGUGGACGGCCACAUUGGGACUGAGAUACUGCCCAGACUCCUACGGGAGGCAGCAGUGGGGAAUAUUGCACAAUGGGCGGAAGCCUGAUGCAGCGACGCCGCGUGGGGGAUGACGGCCUUCGGGUUGUAAACUCCUUUCGACCGCGAGGAAGCCACCUGGUUGGAAGGGUGGUGACGGUAGUGGUAGAAGAAGCACCGGCUAACUACGUG